Drosophila bipectinata is the source of this 1742-nucleotide long non-coding RNA. RefSeq lists it as uncharacterized. The record is from RefSeq and is a predicted model, not a curated record. NCBI's taxonomy places the organism in Eukaryota, Metazoa, Arthropoda, Insecta, Diptera, Drosophilidae.
AAAAAUUAAAAUUUUAGAAAACCUGUCUGUACGGGAAAUAAAAGAAAAACUCCCCUCGCUAUUCAGAAAGCCAUGCUCGAAGAUCGUGCUUUCUUCCCGGUUCCCUAAACUCCCACACGAAGACAAAUAGAAACAAUCAUUCGUCAUAUGCACCACCUUCAAUCUCAGGCUAUAGACUGGCACAAGAUACGGGGAAAAAACUGUCCUAAGGAAAAAACUGCCAUUACGACCCCGACUCUAGAACCAACAUUAUACCCUUUAUCAUAGACUUGAGGGAUUUUAUUAAUUAAAAAAACGCAGGGACGGUCGUGUCACAAAUACAAUCCCUAAAUAACCAAUCUACACAAAAACAACAAACACAUACUACAAUAAAAUAUCCAAAGCAUAAAUAACGCAAAUAAUUAACACCUUCUCAACAUGCAUUUAAUAAACAACGACGUCGAUAUUGCAAUCCUAUCUGAGACUUGGGUCAAGGACAGCUCUGACUGCAGCAUGCUGGGGUUCAAGUUUUACGCAAACAGGAAAUGAUGGCUAUGGGUAUGUACUUAAAAAAUUUCUUAACCGCCGGCAUUGACUUUUCUAGAGCUAUUAAUUUAUGGAGGGGGAGUUUCUGGAACAUUACCCAUGGGGCAAAUUCGAAACCGGGAACUCUUCGAACAUGGCGGGACUUAGCGGGAAAAGCGGGUAUUCAACACAUGGGCCCCAAGGAGUAGAGAAUCACUGGGCCGAUAACUUCUUCACGUUCGUCGAUAUUGCCACGGCUGGAUUAAUGACAUCCUUGGGAUCUGGUAUUUCGGACAAAGUCGAUAGUUUCAAGGCUGCAGUCACAACAUCUUUGGUAUCUGGUAUUUCAUACAUAGUCGAUAUUUCCAGGGCUACAGUCACGACACCUGUGGUAUCUUCGAAUAUGGCUAGGUGGCAACGCUCUUAUACAUGUAAACAGAGAAUAAUUUAAAAAUAUGCAAUAUGCAGAAAAAAAUAAAAACAGAAAUGACGCGAAGGAGGAAAAAAACAAGGAGCAGGACAUUUAGACAUAAAAUAUGGUCAUCAUCAUCGAAAAAUUUUGUUAGUACUCUUCAUGAACGAUUUUCAGGUACAAGGAUCCAGGACAACCUCCAUUGAAGAUAAAAUAGACAGGAUACAUGCGCAUUAAUAUAAAUUUCAUUUGUGGACGGAGUACAAAAACAAAAGUGGAAGUGCACUGCUUUAAAUAGUCGUCGUACCGGCGACCCACUCGUUCUACUUCGUUGUCAGACCUCGAUUCAUGUGGCGAUUGGCUUCCAGGUGAUAGUGGCCAAUCCACAGGAUUGAGCAUAGUGAAAAGGUGACCAGUCGAAUGAGGCAAAUAUUGGGACGGGAUCCGGAUGACAGUCUUUCCCUGAGGGCCCCAAUGUGUCGUAGGAUACUUAGGCUAUGCUCAUGGAGAAACGGUAGGUUGAACCGGUUGUGGUGAGCCGAUACGGCCGGUUUCUUUAUUGCGCUUCCCAGCUGAUUUACGAACCAGGUUCCGUUGAGCGCUACCUUGUCAGAGUACGUUAACAAGUAGGUUCCGGAACUUUUUUGUUCCCGGCCUUGGUCGUCGGUCACCGUAAAGUUGGCAUCGUUGAUGCCGAGGGUGUCGUGAUCCACAAUAGUGACUGGAUCUAGGUGACCCGAGAGCGUGGAGCAGUGCACGAUGGUUCCAUAAACUAAAUAUAUAACUGAUAAAAUUAAAUAAAAAUAAAAUUUUUUUAAAAAACCAA